UUUCAAUAAGUGGCGAAUGUAAAAUUUUAGGUCAUGAUUAGUAAAAAGUAUUAAAAGAGAUACACUAUUUUCAUGGCAGUUCAGAUCAAAUGCAACCUGCGUAAGAUGAAUGAAAUGCAUUAAAUUGGAGUGGGGAAAAUAAUUUUGACAGAUGAAUAAUUGACUUUGAUGAAAUUUGUAUUUUAUUUUCGCAAUUUGCCCACUUUCCGGUCGUGUCCCGCAUUGUAGCUGUAGAUUAUUUUCGUCCAAUCAAAUUGCAUCUUGGAUCUGUUGCCAUGUGAAUGCAAUCUCGGUCAACCAGGUGAAAGGCACGUUGUUAACCAAUCAGAUGUGAAAUUCACGGCACGUUGUUAACCAAUCAGAUGUGAAAUUCACCGCUAUUGGUUGACCCAAUCGGGUUUGAGAAUUGACCCAUCUGCGUUUUCUCAGCUGAGAGGUUGAGUGUGUUCGACGGCUUUGGACGUGAUAAAAAUGUAUAAUUUCAAGACCACCGUUAAGAAAAUAACAACUAAACAUUGUGGGGCAACCAACACAUUACUGUUGAACUUUUGUUUUCAAACCGGAAAAGGAUUUUGGGGCACUUUUGGAAGCAGCAAGUUGAGCUAGUUUACGCCGACUGCUAGCUCAGGUGGAUGAAAAAAGAGCGCCCGGUAUCAGUCGGUGGUUGGGGACCCCUGGUUUAGCUCACCUGGUUUAGCUUGUCGAACAUGAACUCAAGUUUGUGUGCGUUAUGAGUCUUGAUGUAAAUUAGCGCUGGUUUUGGAAGAUUCGAGGAUGAUUUCGCCGUGGGACCGCUGGUACUCGACGAGUUGCUGCCUCUGCUGCCAUGUCCGGACGGGCACCAUCAUUUUGGGCAUUUGGUACAUGCUCAUCAACGCAGUCGUGCUACUCAUCCUGUUGUCGGCCCUCAACGACCCCGUGCAGUAUCGCUACCACCUCACCAGCUCCGAGCUGGGCACCGACGUCGACGUCAUGGACGACGCCAACAUCUGCAUCGCGACCGCAAUAUCCCUCCUCAUGAUUCUCAUAUGCGGCAUGGCGACAUACGGCGCUUACAAGCAACACGCUGCGUGGAUCAUUCCGUUCUUCUGCUACCAAAUCUUCGACUUCGCCCUUAACACCCUGGUGGCCAUCAGCGUGGUGGUGUACCCCAACACGGUGCAGGAUUAUCUCCAGCAGCUGCCGGGUACCUUCCCGUACAAAGAGGACAUCAUGUCCACCAAUAAUAUGUGCCUCGUCUUCGCAGUCCUCCUUUUCAUUGGUGGCAUCCUCUCCUUCAAGGCCUACCUGAUCGGUUGCGUGUGGAACUGCUACCGGUACGUGAGCGGCCGGGGCACCACCGAGGUCCUCGUCUACGUCACCGCUAACGACACCACGGUUCUCCUUCCACCCUACGAAGAUGUGGUCGCCAUCCAGCCAAAGGAGCCUCCUCCUCCCCAGUGUGAUUGUGAGUGCGGCUGUUUGUCUCGAUGUGCCCUGCGAUUGGCCGGCGACCAGUUCAGGGUGUACCGCGCCUCUUUGCCCGAAGGCGGCUGGGACAGGCUCCAGCGCUCCCCGCGACCCUUGUGAGGAUAAGCGGCAAAGAAAAUGUGAAAUUUGAUUGGAUCACGAGGACUCGGCUGGACGUGAGGACAUCGCCGCCCUCCUGUGGACACUUACGGUCACCACCCAACGAGGAGGAGCCGGCCUCCGCACGCGAGCAGUUCCCGACCACUUGAAUAAUGUAUUUUUGUCGCCGGCCUCCUGGAAACAGCCUCAGUUACAGUCAACAACAAAUCCGACAAGAACCGCCGCAAGAACGCACGGGAACCGCCGCAGGAUGCGCGGCUAGAGGGACGGUUUCCGAAUUCUGUUCUUUUCUUUCCCGUUCGGCCUCCCGGGGAGGGGGAAAAAAGGGACGGGAUGGGGUGUUCCACGAGCUCCCAGACUUUGGCGGUGGACUCGAGCAAACCUGGAGUUAAACCGGAGGAAAGCAACGGGACCAGCACCACAGCCAACGCGGCGACGGCCAACGGCGACGCGGCCGAAGACGGCGACAGCGUCCCCGACCAGACGCCGUCCCCCCCGCCGCCGGGGGAGGCCCCCGACGUGAAGGCCGCAGGCGAGGCACCAAAGGCGACAGCGCCCCCACCGGCGCAGGAGGAGGAACUGCAGCUUUUAGACGCCGACGCAGAACUCCCGGAGGAGGCGGAUGCCGCCGCUGAGACGGCGCCUCCAGAAAACGCUCAAGAAGAAGACGCAGAUUCAACAGAACCCGAACAAGAAAAAACAGGGGCGGCGCCAACUUCAAGUGAAUGACGUCACCCACCAACAUUAAUAUUGCCAAGAUGGAGACGCUGUGACAUCAUCACCGUGUGCCUUCCAAACCCUAACGUGGCAGCGCUUAAUCCGGUUGAGGGAACGUUUUGCAUUUACAGCGACGUCGUAGCCAACACGCCAAGAAUUUUGAGGUAAUAUGUUAAUAAGUUAGGACCGUGGGGAAAAAAAUGUUACACAUUUUGAAAUUAUGUAUUUCCGGUGAACCACUGUCCAAAAAAAAAAAACAAAACAAAACAAAAUUCUUCCUUCAGUUCAUACGGAAGCCAUCUUAUCUCUUCAACAUGAAAAAAAAGUGUCUAUCCAAAAAAAAAAAAAAAUGUUGGUGGAUUACUGCUCCACCGUGCCCAUAAUGUAAUAUUUUACAUUUAUUUGAAUUACAAAAUAGCAUAAAUGAAAAUAAACCCUGAGU
RNA transcript from Syngnathoides biaculeatus (alligator pipefish), 2728 nucleotides. It is a transcript of the gene named lysosomal protein transmembrane 4 beta, with no coding region annotated. Lineage: Eukaryota; Metazoa; Chordata; Actinopteri; Syngnathiformes; Syngnathidae. The record is from RefSeq and is a predicted model, not a curated record. The transcript has 15 exons.